AGAGUUUGAUCCUGGCUCAGGACGAACGCUGGCGGCGUGCCUAAUACAUGCAAGUCGAACGCCUCUUUUUCCACCGGAGCUUGCUCCAUCGGAAAAAGAGGAGUGGCGAACGGGUGAGUAACACGUGGGUAACCUGCCCAUCAGAAGGGGAUAACACUUGGAAACAGGUGCUAAUACCGUAUAACAAUCGAAACCGCAUGGUUUCGAUUUGAAAGGCGCUUCCGGGUGUCGCUGAUGGAUGGACCCGCGGUGCAUUAGCUAGUUGGUGAGGUAACGGCUCACCAAGGCGACGAUGCAUAGCCGACCUGAGAGGGUGAUCGGCCACAUUGGGACUGAGACACGGCCCAAACUCCUACGGGAGGCAGCAGUAGGGAAUCUUCGGCAAUGGACGAAAGUCUGACCGAGCAACGCCGCGUGAGUGAAGAAGGUUUUCGGAUCGUAAAACUCUGUUGUUAGAGAAGAACAAGGAUGAGAGUAACUGUUCAUCCCUUGACGGUAUCUAACCAGAAAGCCACGGCUAACUACGUGCCAGCAGCCGCGGUAAUACGUAGGUGGCAAGCGUUGUCCGGAUUUAUUGGGCGUAAAGCGAGCGCAGGCGGUUUCUUAAGUCUGAUGUGAAAGCCCCCGGCUCAACCGGGGAGGGUCAUUGGAAACUGGGAGACUUGAGUGCAGAAGAGGAGAGUGGAAUUCCAUGUGUAGCGGUGAAAUGCGUAGAUAUAUGGAGGAACACCAGUGGCGAAGGUGACGGUCUGGGCCGCAACUGACGCUGAGGCGCGAAAGCCGGGGGAGCGAACAGGAUUAGAUACCCUGGUAGUCCCGGCCGUAAACGAUGGGCGCUAGGUGUGGGGAAACAUUUUCUCUGUGCCGCAGCCAACGCAUUAAGCGCCCCGCCUGGGGAGUACGGCGGCAACGCUAAAACUCAAAGGAAUUGACGGGGGCCCGCACAAGCAGCGGAGCAUGUGGCUUAAUUGGAAGCAACGCGAAGAACCUUACCAGGGCUUGACAUCCGGGUGAAGCGGCGGAGACGCCGUGGCCGAGAGGAGCCCGGACAGGUGGUGCAUGGCUGUCGUCAGCUCGUGCCGUGAGGUGUUGGGUUAAGUCCCGCAACGAGCGCAACCCCCGUCGCGUGUUGCCAGCAAUUCGGUUGGGCACUCGCGCCGAGACUGCCGGCGUCAAGCCGGAGGAAGGUGGGGACGACGUCAAGUCAUCAUGCCCCUUAUGCCCUGGGCUGCACACGUGCUACAAUGGCCGGCACAACGGGUUGCGACCCCGCGAGGGGGAGCGGAUCCCUUAAAGCCGGCCCCAGUUCGGACCGCAGGCUGCAACCCGCCUGCGCGAAGCCGGAGUUGCUAGUAAUCGUGGAUCAGCAUGCCACGGUGAAUACGUUCCCGGGCCUUGCACUCACCGCCCGUCA
Molecule: ribosomal RNA, 1414 nt
Filed under: uncultured bacterium
Lineage: Bacteria
Description: partial 16S ribosomal RNA
Rfam family: Bacterial small subunit ribosomal RNA
Source: RNAcentral